UGCCAGCCGCCGCGGUAAUACGGAGGGUGCAAGCAUUAAUCGGAUUUAUUGGGCGUAAAGUGCGUGCAGGCGGGAAAAUAAGUCAGAUGUGAAAGACUGGGGCUCAACCUCAGGCCCGCAUUUGAAACUGUUUUUCUAGAGGAUAGACGGAGUAAGUGGAAUUCCACAUGUAGCGGUGAAAUGCGUAGAUAUGUGGAGGAAUACCAGUGGCGAAGGCGACUUACUAGUUUAUACCUGACGCUGAAGCGCGAAAGCAAGGGGAGCAAACAGGAUUAGAUA
RNAcentral lists this ribosomal RNA (279 nucleotides) under uncultured bacterium. Its description in RNAcentral is "partial 16S ribosomal RNA". It matches the Rfam family "Bacterial small subunit ribosomal RNA", at positions 506 to 784 of the family's 1533-position model. The record is from RNAcentral.